GACGAACGCUGGCGGCGUGCUUAACACAUGCAAGUCGAACGCGCCUGUCCUCUGGGUUUCUGGGGGGUGGGUGAGUGGCGAACGGGUGAGUAACACGUGAGUAACCUGCCCCCUUCUUCGGGAUAACGGUCUGAAAGGGCUGCUAAUACCGGGUAUUCACUGGUCUCCGCAUGGGGUCUGGUGGAAAGGUUUUUUUCUGGUGGGGGAUGGGCUCGCGGCCUAUCAGCUUGUUGGUGGGGUGAGGGCCCACCAAGGCUUUGACGGGUAGCCGGCCUGAGAGGGUGACCGGUCACAUUGGGACUGAGAUACGGCCCAGACUCCUACGGGAGGCAGCAGUGGGGACUAUUGCACAAUGGGCGCAAGCCUGAUGCAGCGACGCCGCGUGAGGGAUGGGGGCCUUCGGGUUGUGAACCUCUUUCGCCCGUGGUCAAGCCGCGACGUGGGUCGUGGUGAGGGUAGUGGGUAAAGAAGCGCCGGCUAACUACGUG
RNAcentral lists this ribosomal RNA (488 nucleotides) under uncultured bacterium. RNAcentral describes it as "partial 16S ribosomal RNA". It matches the Rfam family "Bacterial small subunit ribosomal RNA", at positions 28 to 507 of the family's 1533-position model. The record is from RNAcentral.